UAGCAGAGGGCCAGUCUGGUGCCAGCAGCUGCGGUAAUUCCAGCUCUGCGAGUUUGCUCCCAUAUUGUUGCAGUUAAAACGCCCGUAGUCUGAAUUGGCCAGCAAUGGUCGUACGUAUUUUUACGUUCACUGUGAACAAAUCAGGACGCUUAGAGUAUGGCCACAUGAAUGACUCAGCGCAGUAUGAAGUCUUUGUUUUCUUCCGAAAACAAGCUCAAUGAGAGCCAUCGGGGGUAGAUCUAUCUCAUGACGAGUGGUGGAAUACUUUGACUCAUGAGAGAGAAGCUGAGGCGAAGGCGUCUACCUAGAGGGUUUCUGUCGAUCAAGGGCGAGAGUAGGAGAUCCAACAGGAUUAGAGA
This 359-nucleotide non-coding RNA is filed under the name Trichomonas vaginalis G3. Its description in RNAcentral is "Eukaryotic small subunit ribosomal RNA". It matches the Rfam family "Eukaryotic small subunit ribosomal RNA", at positions 546 to 1014 of the family's 1831-position model. Lineage: Eukaryota; Parabasalia; Trichomonadida; Trichomonadidae. The record is from Rfam by way of RNAcentral.